RNAcentral lists this ribosomal RNA (253 nucleotides) under uncultured bacterium. RNAcentral describes it as "partial 16S ribosomal RNA". It matches the Rfam family "Bacterial small subunit ribosomal RNA", at positions 524 to 776 of the family's 1533-position model. The record is from RNAcentral.
GACAGAGGGUGCUAACGUUGUUCGGAAUUACUGGGCGUAAAGCGCGUGUAGGCGGCUAUGCAAGUCGGGCGUGAAAUCCCACGGCUCAACCGUGGAAGUGCACUCGAAACUGCGUAGCUAGAGUCCUGGAGAGGAAGGUGGAAUACUUGGUGUAGCAGUGAAAUGCGUGGAGAUCAAGAGGAACACUCGUGGCGAAAGCGAGCUACUGGACAAUAUCUGACGCUGAGGCUCGAAGGCCAGGGUAGCGAAAGGG